GUCCCAAUAGCUAAGUGGUUAUAGCAUGCGAUUGCAGUUUGGCUUCUUAGGAAGUACAUCACUAUCGCAGGGUCGGGUGUUCGAAUCACCCUUGGGACU
Macrolepiota fuliginosa MF-IS2 is the source of this 99-nucleotide non-coding RNA. The record is from the annotation of a GenBank genome assembly. NCBI's taxonomy places the organism in Eukaryota, Fungi, Basidiomycota, Agaricomycetes, Agaricales, Agaricaceae.